Molecule: non-coding RNA, 45 nt
Organism: Schistosoma mansoni
Lineage: Eukaryota; Metazoa; Platyhelminthes; Trematoda; Strigeidida; Schistosomatidae
Source: Rfam
AUCUAGCUUAUGUGUCCCAAAUAGGACGAAACGCACGUCCUGGAU